RNAcentral lists this ribosomal RNA (431 nucleotides) under uncultured bacterium. Its description in RNAcentral is "partial 16S ribosomal RNA". It matches the Rfam family "Bacterial small subunit ribosomal RNA", at positions 30 to 507 of the family's 1533-position model. The record is from RNAcentral.
CGAACGCUGGCGGCAUGCCUAACACAUGCAAGUCGAACGAGACCUUCGGGUCUAGUGGCGCACGGGUGCGUAACGCGUGGGAACCUGCCCUUAGGUUCGGAAUAACUCCCCGAAAGGGGUGCUAAUACCGGAUAAUGUCUUCGGACCAAAGAUUUAUCGCCUUUGGAUGGGCCCGCGUUGGAUUAGCUAGUUGGUAGGGUAAAAGCCUACCAAGGCGACGAUCCAUAGCUGGUCUGAGAGGAUGAUCAGCCACACUGGGACUGAGACACGGCCCAGACUCCUACGGGAGGCAGCAGUGGGGAAUAUUGGACAAUGGGCGAAAGCCUGAUCCAGCAAUGCCGCGUGAGUGACGAAGGCCUUAGGGUUGUAAAGCUCUUUUACCCGGGAUGAUAAUGACAGUACCGGGAGAAUAAGCUCCGGCUAACUCCGUG